AGAGUUUGAUCAUGGCUCAGAAUCAACGCUGGCGGCGUGCCUAACACAUGCAAGUCGAACGCGAAAGGGGAGCAAUCCCUGAGUAGAGUGGCAAACGGGUGAGUAACACGUGGGUGACCUGCCUUCGAGUGGGGGAUAACGUCCCGAAAGGGACGCUAAUACCGCAUGACAUCCUGUCCUUGGAUGGACGGAGAUCAAAGCUGGGGAUCGCAAGAACCUGGCGCUUGAAGAGGGGCCCGCGCCUGAUUAGCUAGUUGGUGGGGUAAUGGCCUACCAAGGCUACGAUCAGUAUCCGGCCUGAGAGGGCGGACGGACACACUGGGACUGAGACACGGCCCAGACUCCUACGGGAGGCAGCAGUGGGGAAUUUUCCGCAAUGGGGGCAACCCUGACGGAGCAACGCCGCGUGAGGGAUGACGGCCUUCGGGUUGUAAAC
RNAcentral lists this ribosomal RNA (436 nucleotides) under uncultured bacterium. RNAcentral's name for it is "bacterial SSU rRNA". It matches the Rfam family "Bacterial small subunit ribosomal RNA", at positions 8 to 430 of the family's 1533-position model. The record is from RNAcentral.